CUGGAAAAGUCUCCUUUUUAUUUUCUGAUUGUUUUUAUCCGAAAAGUAAAAACUUAUGAAUUCUUUUUUCCUCAAAAACAGCUCUCGAUACGCGUUUGGUUCGAAGUUGGAAUCAUAAUCGGAAUCGAAAUAAGCUGAAAUCAGAAUCGGAAUCGGAAUGACUCAUUACCUAAUUCUGUUUGGUUCAUUACCUAAAUCGGAAUCGGAAUAAAUCAUUUCCAUUGUCGAUGUUUGGUUCAGGUAAAUAUAAAAAAUGUAAUCAAAUUAAUAUAUAUAUUAACUUUUUCUUUGUAAUAUAUUAAUUUAAAUUCAAACUGAAAAUUAAAUAUUAAAUAUUUACAUCAAAAUUUCAAAAUAAUGUCAAAAUUUUAAAUCUAUUUUUUUUAUAAAAAAAUAAACUUUGAAGUUGAGUGGAUAAUUUAAAAUAUAAAACUAAAUUUCGAUUUAUUCAGAUUAAAACUUAAAAUUAAAUUUUAAUUUUAAUUUGAAUCCAUAAAUUUAAUUUAAGUUUUAAAUAAAAUUUGAAUAAAAACUUUAUAUAAAUUAAAAUUUAAUUUAAAUUCAAAUUUAUAAGUUAGAUUCAAAACACUUGAUUAAAUUUUAAUUUUUAAUUCAAAUUCAAAUUAAAAUUUAAAAUUAUAAAUUUAAUUUCUAAAUUUAUGGAUUNUAUAUAUAUUAACUUUUUCUUUGUAAUAUAUUAAUUUAAAUUCAAACUGAAAAUUAAAUAUUAAAUAUUUACAUCAAAAUUUCAAAAUAAUGUCAAAAGAUUAAAUUUUAAUUUUUAAUUCAAAUUCAAAUUAAAAUUUAAAAUUAUAAAUUUAAUUUCUAAAUUUAAACUCAUAUUUUAAUUAAAAAAAUUGAAAAAAUAAACUUCUUCCAAAUAAAUAUCCAUUCUAUCCAGAUUCAACUUCCAAUCCUGUCUUCUAUGUCGGAUUGAAAAAAUAGGUGAUGGAAAAAUUUCCAUUCCACUCGGGAAUCGAAAUCGGAAUAGAAUUCCCGCAUACCAAACACCUACAAAUGAAUUCACACAUUCUGAUUCCGAUUAACACUACAAGAAUUAGUAAAUUUAACGACCAAAUUUUAACGACAAAAAUUAAUUUUGGUCGUUAAAAAUAUAAAGAGUCAC
Molecule: long non-coding RNA, 1126 nt
Filed under: Ananas comosus (pineapple)
Lineage: Eukaryota; Viridiplantae; Streptophyta; Magnoliopsida; Poales; Bromeliaceae
Description: long non-coding RNA (ACOM_LNC025557)
Source: RNAcentral